Long non-coding RNA from Penaeus indicus, 314 nucleotides. RefSeq lists it as uncharacterized. The transcript has 2 exons. NCBI's taxonomy places the organism in Eukaryota, Metazoa, Arthropoda, Malacostraca, Decapoda, Penaeidae. The record is from RefSeq and is a predicted model, not a curated record.
UGUCUGUCUGUCUGUUACUCUAUAUAAUAAUUCUUCCUCUCUUUUUGCAGAACGGCUCUUGUUACUUUGUCGCAGUGAAAACGAUUUUUUAAACAUAAAUGCAGCCGUUAACACAACUGCAUAUUAGCAAUAAUAAGAAAGAUGAUGAUGAUAAUAAUAAUGAUAAUGAUAAUGAUAAUAACGAAGACAAUGAUAACAGCAACAACGAGAGUUAUUAGAUGUUGCACAGAUCAUGCAGGAAAGGGACGGCCUUGUGAGGACACAGUCAACGGGCGUCGCUGUUGCAGGAACCGAAAUUAAAAAUUAAAAAUGUU